This 120-nucleotide ribosomal RNA is filed under the name uncultured bacterium. Its description in RNAcentral is "partial 16S ribosomal RNA". It matches the Rfam family "Bacterial small subunit ribosomal RNA", at positions 215 to 334 of the family's 1533-position model. The record is from RNAcentral.
UCGGAAUUGGAUGGGCCCGCGUUGGAUUAGCUAGUUGGUGGGGUAACGGCCUACCAAGGCGACGAUCCAUAGCUGGUCUGAGAGGAUGAUCAGCCACACUGGGACUGAGACACGGCCCAG